Molecule: ribosomal RNA, 562 nt
Filed under: uncultured Bacillota bacterium
Lineage: Bacteria; Bacillati; Bacillota
Description: bacterial SSU rRNA
Rfam family: Bacterial small subunit ribosomal RNA
Source: RNAcentral
CCUACGGGAGGCAGCAGUGGGGAAUUUUGGACAAUGGGGGAAACCCUGAUGCAGUGAUGCCGCGUAUAGGAAGAAGGUUUUCGGAUUGUAAACUAUUGUCGACAGGGAAGAUGAAAAGACGGUACCUGUGGAGGAAGCCCCGGCUAACUACGUGCCAGCAGCCGCGGUAAUACGUAGGGGGCGAGCGUUGUCCGGAAUUAUUGGGUGUAAAGGGUGCGUAGACGGGUUAUUAAGUUAGUUGUGAAAUCCCCAGGCUCAACUUGGGAACUGCAACUAAAACUGGUAAUCUUGAGUAUGGGAGAGGAAAGUGGAAUUCCUAGUGUAGCGGUGAAAUGCGUAGAGAUUAGGAGGAACACCAGUGGCGAAGGCGACUUUCUGGACCAAAACUGACGUUGAGGCACGAAAGUGUGGGGAGCAAACAGGAUUAGAUACCCUGGUAGUCCACACUGUAAACUAUGGAUACUAGGUGUAGGGGAUAACCAUCCUCUGUGCCGUCGCAAACGCAAUAAGUAUCCCACCUGGGGAGUACGGCCGCAAGGUUGAAACUCAAAGGAAUUGACGG